AAAGGGAUCUUUGCAAACACAAUCACGUUCUUAAAUGGAAAUGCGGGGGUUUAAACAAAUCUUACAUCUCUCCCCUUCCAUUCACCCAAAACUCUGCAAUCAGGCGCAUGUUCCGCUCCUUCUAAAACAGUAGCUGUUUUCUGGGGAAGGUCCCAUUUUAAUCAUUCACCUAAAAGCGAUGUAUUUUGGCUUUUCAUCUCAGCCCCAUGCGACUGUUCUUUUUUUCUAUUUACAGGAGUUACUCGGCUCUGGUGUUCAUUUUAAUCCGGAGCUUCAUGACUAAACGACCUUGCAGUGCUGAGCUGCUUGCCAGCAUGGAGACCAAAACCGCAAACGGACGCUGCUGGAAUGAGUGAGCGUGUCUUGGGCACAUUGCCACAGUUUGUUACUGUGUGUUGCAAACAUUUAAACACGAAGUGCUGGGGAUGCGUGGGUUUGGAGGUGGAAGAUGGGGAGUAAGGGACCAAGGAAUGGGAUGGAGAUGAGCUGGUGGACCGCUUUGAUGCCAUUUCAGAACUCUUUCCCAAAGUCAAAGCUAUAUGACAGAACACAUUGGUGGCAGCAUCAUGGUGUGGAACUGUUUUGGUGCUAGUGGUACUGGUGGAUUGCAGAAAGUGGAUAAAACAAUGAAGAAGCAGGACUACCUCCAAGUUCUUCAACUUCACCUCAAUUGAAUGUUUGGACAGAUCAAUUAUCCAUGCCACACAUCAGAAGUGGUUCUGGGAUGGUCAAAGCAGGCUGACAAAAAGCUGCUAGAAUCGGCUUUCCAAAGCCCCAACCACAGCCCUGUUGAAAAGUUGUGGACUAUGGAUGCAAAUGCUGUUUGUGCCAGUUUGAUACUCCUUUAAAUAAAGGGAUGAGCUGCAGUACCAAACACAGUCACAAAGAUUUGUUCUCUGUUAAAAAUAUUUUCUUGCUAACGCAACUAUUGUGAUGUCUGGUUUCUUGUAUUCUUAUUGUAUUGUAUUUCAUUUAUUUGUCAAAAUAUAUUUGUGAAACAUAAGAAAAGUAAAAGUAAGUUUGUAUUUCUUCAGUAAAUUAUUUUACUGAAACAACAUUAAUCUGUAGUUUGGCAUGUCCUAAAAUGGCCUGAUGAUUUCACAGUUGAUCGUCUUUAAUAAGCAUAAAAUACAGUUGAAUUUAUUGCAGUACCAUGGGAUAUUUUAACAUUUAUCUUAAGCCUGCUUACCAAUAAAGAAUACACAGUAAACCUACUUUUGAAAAUUGUGCAAAACAAAUUAGA
Girardinichthys multiradiatus is the source of this 1243-nucleotide long non-coding RNA. RefSeq lists it as uncharacterized. The record is from RefSeq and is a predicted model, not a curated record. NCBI's taxonomy places the organism in Eukaryota, Metazoa, Chordata, Actinopteri, Cyprinodontiformes, Goodeidae. The transcript has 4 exons.